This 24-nucleotide non-coding RNA is filed under the name Arabidopsis thaliana (thale cress). The record is from RNAcentral. Lineage: Eukaryota; Viridiplantae; Streptophyta; Magnoliopsida; Brassicales; Brassicaceae.
AUUAGGGUUUUCAGAUAAGUUUGC